This is a non-coding RNA of Castor canadensis (American beaver), 478 nucleotides long. Lineage: Eukaryota; Metazoa; Chordata; Mammalia; Rodentia; Castoridae. The record is from the annotation of a RefSeq genome assembly.
CCUGGGCAAAAGACAAGACAUCCUCAUCUUCAAAGGAGGAAUGGCCAAACUCCUGGGGGCCUCAUUGUUGGUUCUGUGGCUUCAGCCAAGCAGAGUAAAUAGUCAACAGAAGAAUGGUGACCAGCAGGUUAAGCAAAAUUCUCCAUCCCUGACUGUCAAAGAAGGAGACACUUCUAUUCUGAACUGUGACUAUAAUAACAAUAUGUUAGACUAUUUUGCAUGGUACAAAAAGUACCGUGAUAAUGGUCCCACAUUCCUGAUAUCUGUACGUUCAAUUGUGGAGAAAAAUGAAGAUGGGAAAUUCACGAUCUUCCUCAACAAAAGUGCCAAACACUUCUCUCUGCAAAUUGCAUCCUCCCAGUCUGAAGACUCGGCCACUUACCUCUGUGCAGCAAGUACACAGUGUUCCACAGGCACCUGCAGCUUGUACCCAAACGUGCAGCUGGGGUCCCAGAAAGCCCCUGAUCUCAGUUUCUGA